GGCCCAGUCCCAUGCGGCGGAAAUCCGCGAACCUUGUCAGGUCCGGAAGGAAGCAGCAAUAAACGGAAACUUCCGGGUGCCAUGGGAGCGCUGGGUCUCC
RNAcentral lists this signal recognition particle RNA (100 nucleotides) under Synergistaceae bacterium. RNAcentral describes it as "signal recognition particle sRNA small type". It matches the Rfam family "Bacterial small signal recognition particle RNA". Rfam says of the family: The signal recognition particle (SRP) is a universally conserved ribonucleoprotein involved in the co-translational targeting of proteins to membranes. Archaeal SRP consists of a 7S RNA and homologues of the eukaryotic SRP19 and SRP54 proteins. In most bacteria, the SRP consists of a 4.5S RNA and the Ffh protein (a homologue of the eukaryotic SRP54 protein). Lineage: Bacteria; Thermotogati; Synergistota; Synergistia; Synergistales; Synergistaceae. The record is from RNAcentral.